Molecule: microRNA, 21 nt
Filed under: Nematostella vectensis (starlet sea anemone)
Lineage: Eukaryota; Metazoa; Cnidaria; Anthozoa; Actiniaria; Edwardsiidae
Description: nve-miR-9425
Source: miRBase by way of RNAcentral
AAGAACACCCAAAAUAGCUGA